This 253-nucleotide ribosomal RNA is filed under the name uncultured bacterium. RNAcentral's name for it is "partial 16S ribosomal RNA". It matches the Rfam family "Bacterial small subunit ribosomal RNA", at positions 524 to 776 of the family's 1533-position model. The record is from RNAcentral.
UACAGAGGUCUCAAGCGUUGUUCGGAUUCAUUGGGCGUAAAGGGUGCGUAGGCGGCGCGGCAAGUCGGGUGUGAAAUCUUGGAGCUUAACUCCGAAACUGCAUUCGAUACUGCCGUGCUUGAGGACUGGAGAGGAGACUGGAAUUUACGGUGUAGCGGUGAAAUGCGUAGAUAUCGUAAGGAAGACCAGUGGCGAAGGCGGGUCUCUGGACAGUUCCUGACGCUGAGGCACGAAGGUCAGGGGAGCAAACGGG